GGAAGGGCCAUGGCUCAGUGGUAGAACGACUGAUUUGCAUCAGAAGGUCCCAUGUUCAAUCCAUGGCCUUGGUCCA
Molecule: non-coding RNA, 76 nt
Organism: Podarcis lilfordi (Lilford's wall lizard)
Lineage: Eukaryota; Metazoa; Chordata; Lepidosauria; Squamata; Lacertidae
Source: the annotation of a GenBank genome assembly